UAUUAGGUUGGUGCAAAAGUCAUUGCAGCUUUUGCCAUUAUUUUCAAUGGCAAAAGCUGCAAUGACUUUUGCACCAACCUAAUA
Molecule: microRNA precursor, 84 nt
Organism: Homo sapiens (human)
Lineage: Eukaryota; Metazoa; Chordata; Mammalia; Primates; Hominidae
Rfam family: mir-548 microRNA precursor family
Source: Rfam